This is a non-coding RNA of Sarcophilus harrisii (Tasmanian devil), 541 nucleotides long. NCBI's taxonomy places the organism in Eukaryota, Metazoa, Chordata, Mammalia, Dasyuromorphia, Dasyuridae. The record is from the annotation of a RefSeq genome assembly.
CACUUGGAGGACGGAAGUCAUACAUGGAACUAUUUUGCAAAUUGAUAUCUCAGCAAACUUGCAUAACUCCUGCCUGAGACAUAAAUAGGUCCUGUUCCCAUCCCUCUCACUUGGCUCACAGAGGUCUUCAGCCAGAAGGUUUACAAGAGAAACCAUGAUCUCUCUAUUCCAGGUCUUCUGGUUCCUGGUGCUCUGGGCCCAGGGCUCCCGUGCAGCCAUUUUGCUGACCCAGUCUCAAGCUUCCCUGUCCGUUACCCUUGGAGAAAGAGUCACCAUCAGCUGCAAAGCCAGUCAGGGUAUUAGCAAUUAUUUAGCUUGGUAUCAGCAGGCUCCAGGACAGUCUCCCAAGCUCCUGAUCUAUGCUGCUACCAGUAGAGCAUCUGGGGUCCCUGAACGCUUCAGUGGCAGUGGGUCUGGGACAGACUUUACUCUCACAAUCAGCAGUGUGCAGGCUGAAGAUGUUGGACAUUAUUACUGUCAGCAAUACUAUAAUUACCAAGCACCACACACGGUGAUGCAGUGCUGAACAAAAACCUCCCCA